RNAcentral lists this ribosomal RNA (326 nucleotides) under uncultured eukaryote. Its description in RNAcentral is "partial 18S ribosomal RNA". It matches the Rfam family "Eukaryotic small subunit ribosomal RNA", at positions 1470 to 1796 of the family's 1831-position model. The record is from RNAcentral.
CCCUUAGAUGUUCUGGGCCGCACGCGCGCUACACUGAUGCAUUCAACAAGCCUAGCCUUGACCGAGAGGUCCGGGUAAUCUUUGAAACUGCAUCGUGAGGGGGCUAGAUUAUUGCAAUUAUUAAUCUUCAACGAGGAAUGCCUAGUAAGCGUGAUUCAUCAAAUCGCGUUGAUUACGUCCCUGCCCUUUGUACACACCGCCCGUCGCUCCUACCGAUUGAAUGUGUUGGUGAGGAGCUCGGAUUGGCAGCAGUUGGUGGUUCGCCACCGGCUAUUGCUGAGAAGUCCUCCAAACCGCCCCAUUUAGAGGAAGGAGAAGUCGUAACA